Hippoglossus stenolepis (Pacific halibut) is the source of this 157-nucleotide small nuclear RNA. RefSeq annotates it as U1 spliceosomal RNA. NCBI's taxonomy places the organism in Eukaryota, Metazoa, Chordata, Actinopteri, Pleuronectiformes, Pleuronectidae. The transcript has a single exon. The record is from RefSeq and is a predicted model, not a curated record.
AUACCACUCUGGUAGGGGGAGAUACCAUGAUCAUGAAGGUGGUUUACCCAGGCGAGGCUCUGUGCCAUUGCACUGGGUUGCAAGGACUCUGCGAACCCCCAAAUGUGGGAAUCUCUCACUGCACAAUUUGUGGUAGUGGGGACUGCCCGCCUCCUGA